UUUAAGUAAAUGUAAGACCCGUAGACUGAGUGCAGCAUGCCAGUGAGUGAUGGCUUGUUGAGUCCUGCUUUCCUGUUUCUUCUUCCAGCAGUUCAGGGUGUAUUAAUCAAAACCAGCUGCACUCUAAGAAUGUUCUGGGAGAGGGUGAAUGUAAUUAAAAUGAAGCUAAUGUGCUUUAAAAGCAGCCUGUGGUUGUUCCUUUAGUCCUCCGUGGUGGCAGUAACUGCAGCAGGGCACAGAGCACAUCCAAAAGCUGUGGGUCUAACAUGAGUCAAUGCGCUGCUUCAUCUACUUGUAACGGAGGAGGAGGAGGGCCCAUAUGGGGUUCUGGGGCCUGUAUGGGGUCUAUGGGGACUAUAUGGAGUUGUGGGGCCUCCAUGGGGAUGUGGGGCCUAUAUGGGGUCUAUGGGGCCUAUGUGGGAUUGUGGGUCUUGUAUGGAUUCUACUGGGGCCACCCCCUCCCAUUGGGAUCUGUGGGUACUGGUAUGCGGGGCCUAUGGGGCCAUAUGGGGUUGUGGGGCUUUAUAUGGGGUUGUGAGGCCUGUAUGGUGUCUAUGGGGCCCCUAUGCUUUGUGGGGCCUCUAUGGGGUCUAUGGGGCCUGCAUGGGAUUUUGUGGACUGUAUGGGGUCUAUGAAGCCUGUAUGAGGUUGUGGGGCUUGUAUGGGGUCUUUGGAGCCCAUAUUUGAUCUAUGGGGCGUGUAUGGGUUUGUGGGGCCUAUAUCGGGUCUAUGGUGCCCAUAUAGGAUUGUGGGGACUAGUAUGGGGUCUAUGGGGCCCAUAUGGGGUUGUUGGGCCUAUAUGGGUUUUGGGGCCUGUAUGGGAUUCUGUGGGGCCUAUGUGGGGUUGUGUGGCCUUUAUGGGGUCUAUGGGGCUCAUAUGUGGUUUUGGGGCCCAUAUGUUGUUGUGGAGCCUGUAUGGGGUCUAUGGGGCCCAUAUGGGGUUGUGGGUCCUAUAUGGGGUUGUGAGGCCUGUAUGGGGUCUAUGGGGCCCAUAUUCGUUUUGGGCCUGUAUGGGGUUGAUGGGGCCUGCAUGGUGUUGUGUGGACUGUAUGGGGUCUAUGGAGCCUGUAUGGUGUUGUGGGGCCUGUAUGGUGUCUUUAGGGCCCAUAUGGGAUCUAUGGGGCCUAUAUGAUGCCUAUGGGGCCCAUAUGGGGUUUUGGGGCUGGUAUGAGGUCUAUGUGGAGUUGUGGAGCCUAUAUGGGGUCAAAAAGGCCCAUAUGGGUUUUUCGGGCCUUUAUGUGGUCACUGGGGCCCAUAUAGGGUUGUGGAGCCUUUAUGGGGCUAUGGGGCCUGUAUGGGGUUUUGGGUCCUGUAUGGGGUCUAUGGGUUCCAUAUGGGUUUGUUGGGCCAAUAUGUGGUUGUGGGGCCCUUAUGGGGUCUAUGCAGCCUGUAUGGGGUUUUGGGGCCUGUAUGAUGUUGUGGGACCUGUAUGGUUUUGUGC
This 1441-nucleotide long non-coding RNA is filed under the name Coturnix japonica (Japanese quail). RNAcentral's name for it is "lncRNA (ENSCJPG00005002675.1)". The record is from RNAcentral. Lineage: Eukaryota; Metazoa; Chordata; Aves; Galliformes; Phasianidae.